This 24-nucleotide microRNA is filed under the name Petromyzon marinus (sea lamprey). Its description in RNAcentral is "Pma-Mir-216-P2a2_5p (mature (guide))". Lineage: Eukaryota; Metazoa; Chordata; Hyperoartia; Petromyzontiformes; Petromyzontidae. The record is from RNAcentral.
AAAUCUCUGCAGGCAACUGUGAUG